AUUACACAUGUGCUUCCAUACAGUGGUU
This 28-nucleotide non-coding RNA is filed under the name Homo sapiens (human). The record is from RNAcentral. Lineage: Eukaryota; Metazoa; Chordata; Mammalia; Primates; Hominidae.